Myotis davidii is the source of this 137-nucleotide non-coding RNA. The record is from Rfam. NCBI's taxonomy places the organism in Eukaryota, Metazoa, Chordata, Mammalia, Chiroptera, Vespertilionidae.
UAUUUUAAUAGAACUUAUAUAAAACAAUAAAAAUAUGUUAGUGGCUAUGCUUAUGGGAUAGAGUAACAUUGCCAUGAUCUGAAGGGGGAGGAUUUGUUUGUGUCCUCCUUCUACAUGAAAUGGCUAAACAGAAAAAA